Long non-coding RNA from Notothenia coriiceps (black rockcod), 553 nucleotides. RefSeq lists it as uncharacterized. NCBI's taxonomy places the organism in Eukaryota, Metazoa, Chordata, Actinopteri, Perciformes, Nototheniidae. The record is from RefSeq and is a predicted model, not a curated record. The transcript has 4 exons.
CGCAACAGUCGGCGUCGGCAUCGGCGAGUUCUCUGGUGACUGCUUGGUGUGUCAGGGCCUUAAAAGUGCGCUCCACUUCCCUUCUGAUUCUGUCUCACCUUCCUCUGCAGGGUUGUUGUUGACCUCAAAGAGGAAGCGUGGUACCAGAAGUGUCUCGACCCUGAGUGCAGGAACUUCAGGUCCUCAAGCUACCCACUGCCACAGGAGAUCUGCGUCAGCUACAUCAUGACACUGGACGAGGAGGACCAGGCCUACUUAAUGGACGAUGCCGGCAACAUUGAACUCAGCCAGGCCUCGACCCCCCAGAGGACAGUGUGUCCAGAGCAGGGACCUGCAGACGGCUGGGGGGACGGGGACGACGACCAGGACUAUUUACACAGCCUGGACGACUUUGAACAAAAAAGCGGGGAUAUCCCUGAUCUGCUUCUGCUCAAAUGUAUGGCAGACUUUGACUCCCAUUAGAGGGAAGCCACUUCCCGACGUCUCCCGUGUGCAGCCAUCCGUCCUCGUCGAUGGCCUCUGCAGUUCUCUCGGAAUCUUUCAGGUAUCCCAG